UUGAACGCUGGCGGCAUGCCUUACACAUGCAAGUCGAACGGCAGCACGGGUGCUUGCACCUGGUGGCGAGUGGCGAACGGGUGAGUAAUACAUCGGAACAUGUCCUGUAGUGGGGGAUAGCCCGGCGAAAGCCGGAUUAAUACCGCAUACGAUCUACGGAUGAAAGCGGGGGACCUUCGGGCCUCGCGCUAUAGGGUUGGCCGAUGGCUGAUUAGCUAGUUGGUGGGGUAAAGGCCUACCAAGGCGACGAUCAGUAGCUGGUCUGAGAGGACGACCAGCCACACUGGGACUGAGACACGGCCCAGACUCCUACGGGAGGCAGCAGUGGGGAAUUUUGGACAAUGGGCGAAAGCCUGAUCCAGCAAUGCCGCGUGUGUGAAGAAGGCCUUCGGGUUGUAAAGCACUUUUGUCCGGAAAGAAAUCCUUGGCUCUAAUACAGUCGGGGGAUGACGGUACCGGAAGAAUAAGCACCGGCUAACUACGUGCCAGCAGCCGCGGUAAUACGUAGGGUGCGAGCGUUAAUCGGAAUUACUGGGCGUAAAGCGUGCGCAGGCGGUUUGCUAAGACCGAUGUGAAAUCCCCGGGCUCAACCUGGGAACUGCAUUGGUGACUGGCAGGCUAGAGUAUGGCAGAGGGGGGUAGAAUUCCACGUGUAGCAGUGAAAUGCGUAGAGAUGUGGAGGAAUGCCGAUGGCGAAGGCAGCCCCCUGGGCCAAUACUGACGCUCAUGCACGAAAGCGUGGGGAGCAAACAGGAUUAGAUACCCUGGUAGUCCACGCCCUAAACGAUGUCAACUAGUUGUUGGGGAUUCAUUUCCUUAGUAACGUAGCUAACGCGUGAAGUUGACCGCCUGGGGAGUACGGUCGCAAGAUUAAAACUCAAAGGAAUUGACGGGGACCCGCACAAGCGGUGGAUGAUGUGGAUUAAUUCGAUGCAACGCGAAAAACCUUACCUACCCUUGACAUGGUCGGAAUCCCGCUGAGAGGUGGGAGUGCUCGAAAGAGAACCGGCGCACAGGUGCUGCAUGGCUGUCGUCAGCUCGUGUCGUGAGAUGUUGGGUUAAGUCCCGCAACGAGCGCAACCCUUGUCCUUAGUUGCUACGCAAGAGCACUCUAAGGAGACUGCCGGUGACAAACCGGAGGAAGGUGGGGAUGACGUCAAGUCCUCAUGGCCCUUAUGGGUAGGGCUUCACACGUCAUACAAUGGUCGGAACAGAGGGUUGCCAACCCGCGAGGGGGAGCUAAUCCCAGAAAACCGAUCGUAGUCCGGAUUGCACUCUGCAACUCGAGUGCAUGAAGCUGGAAUCGCUAGUAAUCGCGGAUCACGCAUGCCGCGGUGAAUACGUUCCCGGGUCUUGUACUCACCGC
Molecule: ribosomal RNA, 1366 nt
Filed under: uncultured beta proteobacterium
Lineage: Bacteria; Pseudomonadati; Pseudomonadota; Betaproteobacteria
Description: bacterial SSU rRNA
Rfam family: Bacterial small subunit ribosomal RNA
Source: RNAcentral